Trichonephila clavipes is the source of this 73-nucleotide non-coding RNA. NCBI's taxonomy places the organism in Eukaryota, Metazoa, Arthropoda, Arachnida, Araneae, Nephilidae. The record is from the annotation of a GenBank genome assembly.
GUCCCCGUAGUGAAAUCAAUAGUACGAUGGACUUCUCAUCCAUAGGUCGUGGGCUUGAAUCCCACCUGGGAUG